AGCCUUUCGAAAGGAAGAUUAAUACCCCAUAAUAUGUUGAAUGGCAUCAUUCGACAUUGAAAACUCCGGUGGAUAGAGAUGGGCACGCGCAAGAUUAGAUAGUUGGUGAGGUAACGGCUCACCAAGUCUGCGAUCUUUAGGGGGCCUGAGAGGGUGAUCCCCCACACUGGUACUGAGACACGGACCAGACUCCUACGGGAGGCAGCAGUGAGGAAUAUUGGACAAUGGGUGAGAGCCUGAUCCAGCCAUCCCGCGUGAAGGACGACGGCCCUAUGGGUUGUAAACUUCUUUUGUAUAGGGAUAAACCUACUCUCGUGAGAGUAGCUGAAGGUACUAUACGAAUAAGCACCGGCUAACUCCGUGCCAGCAGCCGCGGUAAUACGGAGGGUGCAAGCGUUAUCCGGAUUUAUUGGGUUUAAAGGGUCCGUAGGCGGAUUUGUAAGUCAGUGGUGAAAUCUCACAGCUUAACUGUGAAACUGCCAUUGAUACUGCAAGUCUUGAGUGUUGUUGAAGUAGCUGGAAUAAGUAGUGUAGCGGUGAAAUGCAUAGAUAUUACUUAGAACACCAAUUGCGAAGGCAGGUUACUAAGCAACAACUGACGCUGAUGGACGAAAGCGUGGGGAGCGAACAGGAUUAGAUACCCUGGUAGUCCACGCCGUAAACGAUGCUAACUCGUUUUUGGGACGUAAGUUUCAGAGACUAAGCGAAAGUGAUAAGUUAGCCACCUGGGGAGUACGAACGCAAGUUUGAAACUCAAAGGAAUUGACGGGGGCCCGCACAAGCGGUGGAUUAUGUGGUUUAAUUCGAUGAUACGCGAGGAACCUUACCAAGGCUUAAAUGGGAAAUGACAGGUUUAGAAAUAGACUUUUCUUCGGACAUUUUCAAGGUGCUGCAUGGUGUCGUCAGCUCGUGCCGUGAGGUGUUAGGUUAAGUCCUGCAACGAGCGCAACCCCUGUCACUAGUUGCCAUCAUUAAGUUGGGGACUCUAGUGAGACUGCCUACGCAAGUAGAGAGGAAGGUGGGGAUGACGUCAAAUCAUCACGGCCCUUACGCCCUGGGCCACACACGUAAUACAAUGGCCGGUACAGAGGGCAGCUACAUAGCGAUGUGAUGCA
This 1115-nucleotide ribosomal RNA is filed under the name Chryseobacterium sp. RNAcentral describes it as "bacterial SSU rRNA". It matches the Rfam family "Bacterial small subunit ribosomal RNA", at positions 145 to 1269 of the family's 1533-position model. The record is from RNAcentral. Lineage: Bacteria; Pseudomonadati; Bacteroidota; Flavobacteriia; Flavobacteriales; Weeksellaceae.